CCACCGAAGUCAAGCAUCAUUGGGCGCGGUCAGUACUUGGGUGGGUGACCACCUGGGAACACUGCGUGCCGUU
Caerostris darwini is the source of this 73-nucleotide non-coding RNA. The record is from the annotation of a GenBank genome assembly. NCBI's taxonomy places the organism in Eukaryota, Metazoa, Arthropoda, Arachnida, Araneae, Araneidae.